GGACAGCACGCAACGGAGCCCCCAAUCCCGGAAACUCAAACACAGUGUCGGUCAUAUCCUUGAAACUUUCGUUCACUCGUGCAUGGAUCGUCGGUAAAUAUAAGAAAGCCCCGAGAGCCGCCGCGCCCGAAGUGAAAAAAUAGAAAGUUGGGAUGUUGAGCUCCUUGGCUAUGGCCAUCGCGGAGGCGCAGAACAGGUCGAUGAUAAACGCCCGAACUCGAAACGUUUUGGAGAGUUCUUGUAGCGCACGGCGGACGUUGGGGUCGUUCUGACGAACGAAAUCGAACAACACGGCGGGCAGGCUACGAGUUUGGCCAUGGUGGUUAGUUGGGGCGGCGCGUGGGAAGCGGAGGAAGGAAAUGGAUGGAUGGGACUGGGUGAUGCGGUCGAUGUAGGCGGGGAUGCUCGGUGUGUCGAUAAUGCUUCCGGUGGCGUAGAGCACGGUGACCGAGAAUUUGUGGGAGUAGUGCUUGAGGAUCAGCUUGCCUAGCUCCACCAUGGAGAUGAGGUGCCCCAUUCCUGGAGCAGCAUAGAAGACUAUGGUGUCUGCCAUUUUACUGUGUCUCAACUCUGAAGGUUCGAGGAUUGUUUAGUUAUAGAUCAGGUAGGACAAGUUACGUGGAGGACUUUGGUACCGCUUUGUUUAGUUAUAGAUCAUGGACGACG
This 666-nucleotide long non-coding RNA is filed under the name Rosa chinensis. Its description in RNAcentral is "sRNA RchiOBHm_Chr7g0227941". Lineage: Eukaryota; Viridiplantae; Streptophyta; Magnoliopsida; Rosales; Rosaceae. The record is from RNAcentral.